CUGGAAGCUAUGGAAAUCCUAAUGCCAAUUAUGCUGCAAAUCCUUACAAUGUUGGAUACAGCAUGAAUCAAGUAUGCUUUGUUUUCUGAGACAUUCUCUUUUGUAUCCUUAUUUCAAUCCGCGUCUCAGAUGGCAUCUUUAUCUCAGGCAAAUGCUACCGAUUCUGGUUCUCAGUAUGGAGCUGGUGCGGCGCACAGUUUCUGGGGCGCCUAUGACAUGCAAAGAGCUGCAGGACGGAGAUGACUGCCGACAUCCUCCUCCUUUUUCUUCUUAAAUCGGUCCUGUUAGCGAAGUACCAAACGCAGAUUUCUGGCACAAACUGAAUUUCUAUUUCUGUGCAACGUUGAUUUAUGGCUAGUCAGAUAUGCCUUGUGUAUUUGUUGACCUUCAUCUGAGUGAGUUACAUGCUCAAGCAUGUUACGGUAAUCUAGGUUACUGCAAAUUUGCAUUUUGUGUACAUGUGCUCUUUCACCUAAUGCAGUUGUCAUUACUUUGUUCACUACAAGCAUCUUUUGUUGUGUUGCCGUUACCAUUGAUGUAACAAAAAGCUGACUUGGGAUGCCUCGUGUCAGUAAGAACCUGAGUGGUGAUCAACGACUAAUGGUGACACAAGUUAAAUCCACUGGCUCCUCUUUUUUUCUUCUACCUCAAGAACAAUGGUGUAGAAUCAUAUCCAAUCAUUGGAUCAUGAGAGGAGAAAGGAAAUAGUAUAGUAGUGCUGGCAUACACUGACUAAAAUUUGUGUCACCGAAAGCAUUGGCGUAUUAGGCGAUGCAACGUGGCCAUAUCAGAAGGCCAGGCCAAAUAUUAGACAACAAGAAGCAAAACCAAUCAAUAAAGUACAGUAGCAUAGUAGCAAAAUCAUUUACACUGGAAAGGAAGCAGCUCACAUUGCAAUCUGGCAUGUUCUGAACGCGUGAGAGGUGCAAGAUAAAUAUAGUACAACAAACAAAUACCAAGUUCUUGCAGAGAAAACAGUGCGAAUCUAGGUACAUGACAACUAGAAGCAUUAGAAACUAAGUCGCCGACUAUGCCUGUGGGAAGACUUUAUUCGGGGGGAUAUUCUCGCGCCUCUCGACAUAGCCAGCCGGAAACCACCCUGCCUUUCCUCUGCAUUCCCCUUCCGCCCAACCAUUGGGAGCAAUCUG
This 1148-nucleotide long non-coding RNA is filed under the name Hordeum vulgare. RNAcentral's name for it is "long non-coding RNA (HVUL_LNC003724)". Lineage: Eukaryota; Viridiplantae; Streptophyta; Magnoliopsida; Poales; Poaceae. The record is from RNAcentral.